Molecule: ribosomal RNA, 433 nt
Filed under: uncultured bacterium
Lineage: Bacteria
Description: partial 16S ribosomal RNA
Rfam family: Bacterial small subunit ribosomal RNA
Source: RNAcentral
AACGAACGCUGGCGGCAUGCCUAACACAUGCAAGUCGAACGAGACCUUCGGGUCUAGUGGCGCACGGGUGCGUAACGCGUGGGAACCUGCCCUUAGGUUCGGAAUAACUCCCCGAAAGGGGUGCUAAUACCGGAUAAUGUCUUCGGACCAAAGAUUUAUCGCCUUUGGAUGGGCCCGCGUUGGAUUAGCUAGUUGGUAGGGUAAAAGCCUACCAAGGCGACGAUCCAUAGCUGGUCUGAGAGGAUGAUCAGCCACACUGGGACUGAGACACGGCCCAGACUCCGACGGGAGGCAGCAGUGGGGAAUAUUGGACAAUGGGCGAUAGCCUGAUCCAGCAAUGCCGCGUGAGUGAUGAAGGCCUUAGGGUUGUAAAGCUCUUUUACCCGGGAUGAUAAUGACAGUACCGGGAGAAUAAGCUCCGGCUAACUCCGUG